RNAcentral lists this ribosomal RNA (427 nucleotides) under uncultured prokaryote. Its description in RNAcentral is "bacterial SSU rRNA". It matches the Rfam family "Bacterial small subunit ribosomal RNA", at positions 355 to 774 of the family's 1533-position model. The record is from RNAcentral.
UAGGGAAUAUUCCGCAAUGGACGAAAGUCUGACGGAGCGACGCCGCGUGGAUGAAGAAGGCCUAAAGGUUGUAAAAUCCUUUUGCUGAGGAAGAAUAAGUGUGGGAGGGAAUGCCCGCAUGAUGACAUGAAUCGGCGAAUAAGCCCCGGCCAACUACGUGCCAGCAGCCGCGGUAACACGUAGGGGGCGAGCGUUGUUCGGAAUUACUGGGCGUAAAGGGCAUGUAGGCGGUUAUGUAAGCCUGGCGUGAAAGUCCACAGCUUAACUGUGGGAUUGCGUUGGGAACUAGAUGACUAGAGUUACGGAGAGGGAGCUAGAAUUCCUGGUGUAGGGGUGGAAUCUGUAGAGAUCAGGAAGAAUACCGAUGGCGAAGGCAAGCCCCUGGCCGAUGACUGACGCUGAGGUGCGAAAGUGUGGGGAUCAAACA